AUGAAAGCAAACAAAAUAAUCAUAAUAUCUAUUUUACCCUUGGAUUUUAGGAUUUUCUCAAAUUGGAUUUCAUCCAUACUCUUUAAACCCCAUUUCUCAAACUGCGUAGUUAUAGGCAUAGUAUUUUCUCUGAUUAAUUCUGAUUAUAUUUUUCNNNNNNNAAAAUUUGAUGAAGAAACAUGAAAAUAAUUAUCAUUAGCAAAACAAUUAAGCUCUUACCCCUGUCUGACUUUUUAGAGCAGUAAAGCAUCCAACUUUCGAAAUCAACAAAAAUCUCUGUAUUUAAAAAAAACAACAAAAUCAUCAUAAUGAGCAAUAAAAUCCAAUGGCAAUAGAAAGAGGAUAAUCGUCAAAAAAAAUAAAAUAAAAAAAUAGAAAGAGGAUUAGAAAGAGGAACGAAAAGAAAAUUAGGGAUCUGGAAAAAGAACAAAACUGAAAUUACCUGCUGGAUGGGUCUUGAAACAGGUUGGAGGAUUUGAUUGAGAAGACUGAGAAGAAAAAUAAAUUUGCAAACAUAGACAAAAAAAAGAAACAGGUCACAUAAAAAUCAGAUGAUGAAAUUAAAUCCAUAAAAUAACAGAUGGAGAAGCA
RNAcentral lists this long non-coding RNA (591 nucleotides) under Trifolium pratense (red clover). RNAcentral describes it as "long non-coding RNA (TPRA_LNC001652)". The record is from RNAcentral. Lineage: Eukaryota; Viridiplantae; Streptophyta; Magnoliopsida; Fabales; Fabaceae.